RNAcentral lists this long non-coding RNA (1397 nucleotides) under Macaca fascicularis (crab-eating macaque). Its description in RNAcentral is "lncRNA (ENSMFAG00000050369.1)". The record is from RNAcentral. Lineage: Eukaryota; Metazoa; Chordata; Mammalia; Primates; Cercopithecidae.
AAUCAUUGGAAAGUAGGAUGGAAAACAGGUAUAUCCUUGAGUUAUAGUCUUUUCCUGUGGCCAUUUCUCCUCUCCAAUGAGAGAAUUAUAUCUCAUCUUGGAGAUUACUUGAAUUUUACCAGGUAAGUGUUCUAGAAGUGAUGAUCUCAUUGAAUUAUUUCUUAGUGGGUUUUAAGUUGAAAGUGGGAAAUCAAAUAAUGGGGAAAAUACCUAUUCACUAUGAGAGUUCCUUACCAGCAGGUGUCUCGGUGUCUUUGCCAAACCUUGCGAUUUUUUGGCCACCCAAUCUAGGGUGGGGGUGAGGAGAGAUUCCAUUAAAUUCGGGGUCAGCAAAUUAUUCCUGUAAAGGACCAGAUAAUAAAAAGUUUAGGCUUUGUAAACCUUAUGGUCUCUAUCAUAACUACUCAACUCUGCUGUUGUAGAGUAAAAACAGUAAUAGAUGACAUGUAAAUGAGUGGCGUGUAAAUGACUGUGUUCCAAUAAAACUUUAUGGGCACCAAAAUUCAAACUUCAUAUAAUUUUCAUAUGUCGCAAAAUAUUAUUUUCCCUUUGAUUAUUUUUUCCAAGUAUUUAAAAAGGUAAAAACCCCAUAGAGAUACAUGCACAUGUUAUGUUCACUACAACACUAUUCACAAUGGCAAAAACGUGGAAUCAAUCUAAAUGCCCAUCAAUGAUAGGAUAAAGAAAAUGUGGUACACAUACACAUGAAUACUAUGCAGCCGUUAAAAAGAAUGAGAUCAUGUUCUUUGCAGGAACAUGGGUGGAGCUGGAGGCCAUUAUCCUUAGCAGACUGACACAGGAACAGAAAACCAAACUAAGUGGGAGCCAAAUAAGAAGAACACAAAGAGGGGAACAGCAGACACUGGGGACUGCCUGCGGGUGGAGGGUGGGAGGAGAGAGAGGAUCAGAAAAAUAACUACCAGAUAUUGUGCUUAGUAUCUGGGUGAUGAAAUAACCUGUACAACAAACCCCAGUGACAUGAAUUUACCUGUAUAACAAACCUGCAAAUGUACCCCUGAACCUUAAACACUUUGUUUGUUUGUUUGUUUAAAGAGAAAAACCAUUCUUAGUUCUUGAGCCCUACAAAAAGGUAGUGGACUGAAUUCGGCAUGCAGUGCCUAGUUUGUCAACACCUGAAUUAAAUCAUCUUCUCAUUUACACUUUUUGGUUGCAAAUAUAAUUGUUUUGAAAUGUCCCUCUUACUAAAGCAAUGUCUUGACAGAUAGAUUACUAAAUAGGCAGAUAAUUGAUGAUAGAUAGAUAGAUAGAUAGAUAGAUAGAUAGAUAGAUAGAUAGAUUUUUUCUAAAGAAAUAGUUGAUCAUUUGGGAUAUUAGAAUUAAGCCCCUUGCAAGUUACGCUUAUCGCAAUGCCUAGCAUGUAGUAUAGGUCAGUACAU